UACGUAGGUGGCAAGCGUUAUCCGGAUUUACUGGGUGUAAAGGGCGAGUAGGCGGGAUUGCAAGUCAGAUGUGAAAACUAUGGGCUCAACCGAUAGAGUGCAUUUGAAACUGCAGUUCUUGAGUGAAGUAGAGGUAGGCGGAAUUCCCGGUGUAGCGGUGAAAUGCGUAGAGAUCGGGAGGAACACCAGUGGCGAAGGCGGCCUACUGGGCUUUAACUGACGCUGAGGCACGAAAGCGUGGGUAUCGAACAGG
This 253-nucleotide ribosomal RNA is filed under the name uncultured Oscillospiraceae bacterium. RNAcentral's name for it is "partial 16S ribosomal RNA". It matches the Rfam family "Bacterial small subunit ribosomal RNA", at positions 524 to 776 of the family's 1533-position model. Lineage: Bacteria; Bacillati; Bacillota; Clostridia; Eubacteriales; Oscillospiraceae. The record is from RNAcentral.